GCCGGUGUAUCCCAACUGGUAGAGGAGGCUGUCCUAAAAACAGCUCGAGUGUCGGUUCGACUCCGACCACCGGCACAA
RNAcentral lists this transfer RNA (78 nucleotides) under Frankia torreyi. Its description in RNAcentral is "tRNA-Leu". It matches the Rfam family "tRNA". From Rfam's summary of the family: Transfer RNA (tRNA) molecules are approximately 80 nucleotides in length. Their secondary structure includes four short double-helical elements and three loops (D, anti-codon, and T loops). Further hydrogen bonds mediate the characteristic L-shaped molecular structure. tRNAs have two regions of fundamental functional importance: the anti-codon, which is responsible for specific mRNA codon recognition, and the 3' end, to which the tRNAs corresponding amino acid is attached (by aminoacyl-tRNA synthetases). tRNAs cope with the degeneracy of the genetic code in two manners: having more than one tRNA (with a specific anti-codon) for a particular amino acid; and 'wobble' base-pairing, i.e. permitting non-standard base-pairing at the 3rd anti-codon position. The record is from RNAcentral. RNAcentral also lists the same sequence under 17 other names. Lineage: Bacteria; Bacillati; Actinomycetota; Actinomycetes; Frankiales; Frankiaceae.